This 407-nucleotide ribosomal RNA is filed under the name uncultured bacterium. Its description in RNAcentral is "bacterial SSU rRNA". It matches the Rfam family "Bacterial small subunit ribosomal RNA", at positions 29 to 431 of the family's 1533-position model. The record is from RNAcentral.
AGUGAACGCUGGCGGCAGGCCUAAUACAUGCAAGUCGAACGGCAGCACAGUGGAGCUUGCUCCAUGGGUGGCGAGUGGCGGACGGGUGAGGAAUACAUGGGAAUCUGCCCAGUCGUGGGGGAUAACGUAUGGAAACGUACGCUAAUACCGCAUGCGCCCUUCGGGGGAAAGUCGGGGACCGCAAGGCCUGACGCGAUUGGAUGAGCCCAUGUUCGAUUAGCUAGUUGGCGGGGUAACGGCCCACCAAGGCGACGAUCGAUAGCUGGUCUGAGAGGAUGAUCAGCCACACUGGAACUGAGACACGGUCCAGACUCCUACGGGAGGCAGCAGUAGGGAAUAUUGGACAAUGGGCGCAAGCCUGAUCCAGCCAUGCCGCGUGAGUGAAGAAGGCCCUCGGGUUGUAAAGC